UUUAUUUGAUUCCUAUCUAAUUUAGGGUUUAAAAUGCUUAGUGAUGUUUUUUUCUUUUUAUAGUUGUGUGCUACGCAGAGUUGGUUUCCGGCCUCAACACCAGCAAAGUCUCCCAACCAAUCAAAUCGCCAGACAACAGCGGCGAAGAUGGCGACUCUUCAGAAUCCAGCGAAGAAGUCAAACCCCACAAGGGUCGCAGACAAAGAUCCCUAGGGUCAAAAUCAGAAAAAAAGUCUGACAAGGGUGAUAAAGGUGAUAAAGGUGGCAAAGGUGGCAAGCCUCCAAAACCCGACACCCAGAGUGUAACUAAACAACCCUUUCCCCACAGUGAGCCUCAUACAGAAUCCCAUCCACACAACACCACCGGAGGCAACCACACUGGAUCCCAUGACCUGCAUCCCAAAGAUGACCACUCAUCAGAAUCCAGCGAAGAAGUCAAACCCAACAAAGGUCGCAAACAAAGAUCCCUCGGGUCCAAAUCAGAAAAAAAGUCUGACAAAGGUAACAAAGGUGGCAAGCCUCCAAAACCCGACAGCCAGAGUGUUACCAAACAACCCUUUUCCCACAGUGAUCCUCCUAAAGGCACUGGAGCUCCAAACCAGAACUCAUCAAUGACCCCAAACCCUGUCAGACCAACCGGCCACCAUGACGAUGAUAAUAGUGCAGAAUUCAAGUCCAAGGGUCGCCAUCGAAGGUCCCCCAAAUGGCCAAGACCUGGACCCAAACCCCAGCCAAAGCCCGAUCCAAAGCCCCAGCCAAAACCCCAACCAAAACCUGAACCAAAACCCCAACCAAAGCCCGAUCCAAAGCCCCAGCCAAAACCCCAACCAAAACCUGAACCAAAACCCCAACCAAAGCCUGAAAAAAGUGGUGAGCAACUCUACGGUGUGUUCCAGCUGUCAGAUCGGGUUGCCUGUGCCUCCGGAACUAAGCCCACCCUCAAUCUCUGCGGACUGACCUGCGACAAACUGGUUGAUGAUGACAUCACCGAUGACAUCGCCUGUCUCAAGACCCUCCUCAGCAAGUUCACGCCAGUGGACAGCCUUAAAGGAGAGGCCAGAGAGCAUGUCAAGAAAUUGUACGACCAAAUCUACCAGAAGCAAUGUGCCGGCGCGACCGACGCCCAGUUUUUCUCUGGCUGUUAGACCCGAGCACAGCACGGCAGACUCAUCCAGAACUUCUCUACUCUGUAACCUGAUAAAUUCUUUCGUAAAAAAUGAUCGUGGCAAUCACUUUCCUAUUUUUCUGACUGUAAGCUACGUCUGUGCUUUUUUUUUUUAGAACGUGAAAAAAAGCACGACUGUUGGAGAUCAUUUCACAAUGUCUUUCUUGUUGGUUGAAUAUAAAAGUUCAGCUGAUCAGUAGGACGAUUCUAGUACUGUAUCGCUGUAUCACUGACGGUACAGCAUAACGUUAAGGUUUAGGGUUUAAUUUAAAGAUUAUUUAACUGAUAAUUAUUUAACUUCCUUCUGUCCUCAAUACAUUCUCUGCAUUCAAACAUCCAUGUUGUCAUAUUUUCUUUCAGCUUGUUUUUUGUGUUGUGUUUAAACUGCACGUGCAAACGAGUUUGAAAAAAAAAACGGUCAUUUUAUGCAUUUGACAAAAAAAUAUCAAAAGGGUUAAACUGUUCAUUUUUUUGUUCAAAACCUCUUAACUCAUUGU
This 1662-nucleotide long non-coding RNA is filed under the name Astyanax mexicanus (Mexican tetra). RNAcentral describes it as "lncRNA (ENSAMXG00005014451.1)". The record is from RNAcentral. Lineage: Eukaryota; Metazoa; Chordata; Actinopteri; Characiformes; Acestrorhamphidae.